GAUGAACGCUGGCGGCGUGCCUAAUACAUGCAAGUCGAGCGAAAAGACGAGGAGCUUGUUCCUCUGACGUUAGCGGCGGACGGGUGAGUAACACGUGGAUCACCUCCCUAUCAGACUGGGAUCACUUCGGGAAACCGGAGAAAAUACCGGAUAAUAUCUUGCACCGUAUGGUUCAAUAGUGAAAGACGGUUGUGCUGUCACUUCUCGCUGGAUCCGCGCCGCAUUAGCUAGUUGGUACGGUAACGGCUUAUCAAGGCAACGAUGCGUAGCCGACCUGAGAGGGUGAUCGGCCACACGGGAACGUAGACGCGGUCCAGACGCCUGCGGGAGGGAGCAGUAGGGAAUCUUCCGCAAUGGUCGGAAGCCUGACGGAGCAACGCCGCGUGAGUUAUGAAGAUCUUCGGAUCGUAAAACUCUGUUAUUAGGGAAGAACAAAUUUGUAAGGAACUAUGCACUGCUUGACGGUACCUAAUCAGAAAGCCACGGCUAACUACGUG
This 497-nucleotide ribosomal RNA is filed under the name uncultured bacterium. RNAcentral describes it as "partial 16S ribosomal RNA". It matches the Rfam family "Bacterial small subunit ribosomal RNA", at positions 28 to 507 of the family's 1533-position model. The record is from RNAcentral.